RNAcentral lists this ribosomal RNA (800 nucleotides) under uncultured bacterium. Its description in RNAcentral is "bacterial SSU rRNA". It matches the Rfam family "Bacterial small subunit ribosomal RNA", at positions 8 to 798 of the family's 1533-position model. The record is from RNAcentral.
AGAGUUUGAUCAUGGCUCAGAUUGAACGCUGGCGGCAGGCCUAACACAUGCAAGUCGAACGGUAACAGGAAGCAGCUUGCUGCUUUGCUGACGAGUGGCGGACGGGUGAGUAAUGUCUGGGAAACUGCCUGAUGGAGGGGGAUAACUACUGGAAACGGUAGCUAAUACCGCAUAACGUCGCAAGACCAAAGAGGGGGACCUUAGGGCCUCUUGCCAUCGGAUGUGCCCAGAUGGGAUUAGCUAGUAGGUGGGGUAACGGCUCACCUAGGCGACGAUCCCUAGCUGGUCUGAGAGGAUGACCAGCCACACUGGAACUGAGACACGGUCCAGACUCCUACGGGAGGCAGCAGUGGGGAAUAUUGCACAAUGGGCGCAAGCCUGAUGCAGCCAUGCCGCGUGUAUGAAGAAGGCCUUCGGGUUGUAAAGUACUUUCAGCGGGGAGGAAGGGAGUAAAGUUAAUACCUUUGCUCAUUGACGUUACCCGCAGAAGAAGCACCGGCUAACUCCGUGCCAGCAGCCGCGGUAAUACGGAGGGUGCAAGCGUUAAUCGGAAUUACUGGGCGUAAAGCGCACGCAGGCGGUUUGUUAAGUCAGAUGUGAAAUCCCCGGGCUCAACCUGGGAACUGCAUCUGAUACUGGCAAGCUUGAGUCUCGUAGAGGGGGGUAGAAUUCCAGGUGUAGCGGUGAAAUGCGUAGAGAUCUGGAGGAAUACCGGUGGCGAAGGCGGCCCCCUGGACGAAGACUGACGCUCAGGUGCGAAAGCGUGGGGAGCAAACAGGAUAGAUACCCUGGUAGUCCAC